RNAcentral lists this ribosomal RNA (301 nucleotides) under uncultured bacterium. RNAcentral describes it as "partial 16S ribosomal RNA". It matches the Rfam family "Bacterial small subunit ribosomal RNA", at positions 509 to 807 of the family's 1533-position model. The record is from RNAcentral.
CAGUCGCCGCGGUAAGACAGAGGAUGCAAGCGUUAUCCGGAAUGAUUGGGCGUAAGGCGUCUGUAGGUGGCUUUUCAAGUCCGCCGUCAAAUCCCAGGGCUCAACCCUGGACAGGCGGUGGAAACUGCCAAGCUGGAGUACGGUAGGGGCAGAGGGAAUCUCCGGUGGAGCGGUGAAAUGCGUUGAGAUCGGAAAGAACACCAACGGCGAAAGCACUCUGCUGGGCCGACACUGACACUGAGAGACGAAAGCUAGGGGAGCAAAUGGGAUUAGAUACCCGCGUAGUCCCUGUCUCUUAUAC